RNAcentral lists this long non-coding RNA (786 nucleotides) under Mus musculus (house mouse). RNAcentral describes it as "small nucleolar RNA host gene 11". The record is from RNAcentral. Lineage: Eukaryota; Metazoa; Chordata; Mammalia; Rodentia; Muridae.
AGCCUGCUAGGCAAGUCACCUCGGCUCUGCGCUCUUGGCCGCUUCCAAGACCUCCAGUCUUCUUUAACCGGAUAAACCCAGGAGCCGGGAAGCUAGGGUGCAGGCGUGAUCCUCCAACCCUUGAGAGCUAUGGACCUCCUGGAGUACUGGAAAAGAGAUCGUUGGGUUCUCGGACUGUUGACCUGCGUCCUUCCAAGCUGAUAAGCCCAGGACCCUAGGACGGGAUGCUAGGACUCCUGUGUGGCGCCUUGCUUUGAACCCUUUCCCAAGGGCUGUUUCCCAGAUGAGCCUUUGCCGCAAGGCCCUCUUGACACCAAGGAUGACGACGCAAAACCUGCGGCAGCCAACACCCCUCUCCCCACUCUCCGCACUCACUGGUGGGUGCCACCAUCCAGGAAGCAAGUAUCCCGGUUCUUUGGCAGGAGAUGGGAUAAAAAACCUUUUGGAGUCGCUGCCGUUUAUCAGAGCUUGGAGGAACGAUCUGAAAAGUGCUCUCUGACAGAAUUGACAGCUUGGUGCAGAGGGGACAUGAGAGGUGUCUCUGUCCAGCUAGGAAGCAGCUGGACCACAGCGCUCCCAAGGAACGUACUCCCCAACAUCAGUGUGGAGCGACCAGAGAGCAUGACCAUCUCGCAGUGAUCGCCUGCAGGGGCCUUAGCCAGGUGAUGGUGGUGGUACCCAGGAAGAGCAAGGUUGCUGGCACGCAACAUGCCUGCAGCCCUUGAUGCUGUUGGCUCACCAGCACGGAGCACCUUUUUACUUUGGUAGGUAUGCAGAGGGAAGGGC